RNAcentral lists this signal recognition particle RNA (100 nucleotides) under Chloroflexota bacterium. RNAcentral's name for it is "Chloroflexi bacterium (sediment metagenome) signal recognition particle sRNA small type". It matches the Rfam family "Bacterial small signal recognition particle RNA". From Rfam's summary of the family: The signal recognition particle (SRP) is a universally conserved ribonucleoprotein involved in the co-translational targeting of proteins to membranes. The record is from RNAcentral. Lineage: Bacteria; Bacillati; Chloroflexota.
GGGUGGGACCGGCGCGGCAGUGUCCUUCGAACCCCGCCAGGUCCGAGAGGAAGCAACGGUAAGGAGGUAACAUUGGGCGCCGCCGGCAAUCCUAUUCGGA